AACGAACGCUGGCGGCAGGCCUAACACAUGCAAGUCGAGCGAGCAUUUCGGUGCUAGCGGCGGACGGGUGAGUAACGCGUGGGAACGUGCCCUUUUCUGCGGAAUAGUCCUGGGAAACUGGGGGUAAUACCGCAUACGCCCUUUUGGGGAAAGAUUUAUCGGAGAAGGAUCGGCCCGCGUUGGAUUAGGUAGUUGGUGGGGUAAUGGCCCACCAAGCCGACGAUCCAUAGCUGGUUUGAGAGGAUGAUCAGCCACACUGGGACUGAGACACGGCCCAGACUCCUACGGGAGGCAGCAGUGGGGAAUCUUAGACAAUGGGGGCAACCCUGAUCUAGCCAUGCCGCGUGAGUGAUGAAGGCCUCAGGGUUGUAAAGCUCUUUCAGCUGGGAAGAUAAUGACGGUACCAGCAGAAGAAGCCCCGGCUAACUCCGUG
RNAcentral lists this ribosomal RNA (433 nucleotides) under uncultured bacterium. RNAcentral describes it as "partial 16S ribosomal RNA". It matches the Rfam family "Bacterial small subunit ribosomal RNA", at positions 29 to 507 of the family's 1533-position model. The record is from RNAcentral.